GACGUAGGGUGCAAGCGUUGUCCGGAUUUAUUGGGCGUAAAGAGCUCGUAGGCGGCUUGUUGCGUCGACUGUGAAAACCCGUGGCUUAACCGCGGGCUUGCAGUUGAUACGGGCAGGCUAGAGUUCGGUAGGGGAGACUGGAAUUCCUGGUGUAGCGGUGAAAUGCGCAGAUAUCAGGAGGAACACCGGUGGCGAAGGCGGGUCUCUGGGCCGAUACUGACGCUGAGGAGCGAAAGCGUGGGGAGCGAACAGG
Molecule: ribosomal RNA, 253 nt
Filed under: uncultured bacterium
Lineage: Bacteria
Description: partial 16S ribosomal RNA
Rfam family: Bacterial small subunit ribosomal RNA
Source: RNAcentral